GACGACGCUGGCGGCGUGGGAUUAGGCAUGCAAGUCGAACGGUAUCAUCCUUUCGGGGGUGAGAGAGUGGCGAACUGGUGAGUAACACGUAGGUUAUCUACCCUCAAGACGGGGACAACCCAGGGAAACUUGGGCUAAUACCGGAUGUGAGCAACUUUUAGUUGUUUGAAAGGUGGCGUAAGCUGUCGCUUGGGGAUGAGCCUGCGUCCUAUUAGUUAGUUGGUGAGGUAACGGCUCACCUAGGCAAUGAUAGGUAGGCGGCCUUAACGGGUGGUCGCCCACGACUGGGAUUGAGAUACGGCCCAGACUCCUACGGGAGGCAGCAGUCGAGAAUAGUCUACAAUGGUCGGAAGACUGAUAGUGCGACGCCGCGUGAACGAUGAAUCCCUUCGGGGUGUAAAGUUCUUUUAUAUGUGAGCAGUGCUUCUUAUAUUAACAGUAUGGGGAGAGAGAUAUUAGCAUAUGAAUAAGCAACGGCUAACUCCGUG
Molecule: ribosomal RNA, 488 nt
Filed under: uncultured bacterium
Lineage: Bacteria
Description: bacterial SSU rRNA
Rfam family: Bacterial small subunit ribosomal RNA
Source: RNAcentral